Molecule: ribosomal RNA, 394 nt
Filed under: uncultured bacterium
Lineage: Bacteria
Description: bacterial SSU rRNA
Rfam family: Bacterial small subunit ribosomal RNA
Source: RNAcentral
AACGAACGUUGGCGGCGUGGAUUAGGCAUGCAAGUCGCGGGAAUCCCAGCAAUGGGGGAACCGGCGUAAGGGGCAGUAAUGCGUGGGUACCUACCCCGGGGUCCGGGAUAGCCGUCCGAGAGGGCGGGUAAUACCGGAUGACCUCGGGAGAGCAAAGCUCCGGCGCCCUGGGAGGGGCCCACGUGAUAUUAGCUAGUUGGUGAGGUAAUGGCUCACCAAGGCGGAGAUGUCUAGCGGGUGUGAGAGCACGACCCGCGCCACCCGCACUGAGACACUGGCGAGACACCUACGGGUGGCUGCAGUCGAGGAUCUUCGGCAAUGCGCGCAAGCGCGACCGAGCGACGCCGCGUGGGCGAUGAAGGCCUUCGGGUUGUAAAGCCCUGUCGAGGGGGAG